RNAcentral lists this unclassified non-coding RNA (468 nucleotides) under uncultured Melanogastraceae. RNAcentral describes it as "sequence contains ITS2". The stretch from base 1 to 155 matches the Rfam family "5.8S ribosomal RNA". Lineage: Eukaryota; Fungi; Basidiomycota; Agaricomycetes; Boletales; Melanogastraceae. The record is from RNAcentral.
AACUUUUGACAACGGAUCACUUGGCUCUCGCAUCGAUGAAGAACGCAGCGAAUUGCGAUACGUAAUGUGAAUUGCAGAGUUUCAGUGAAUCAUCGAAUCUUUGAACGCACCUUGCGCUCCUUGGUAUUCCGAGGAGCAUGCCUGUUUGAGUGUCAUCGAAUUCUCAACCAUCCGUUGAUUGAUUUCGAGGGGUGGCUUGGAUCUUGGGAGUUGCCGGCUGACCGCUGUGGGUCGGGUGGGCUCUGCUUAAAAGCAUUAGCGAAAGGCGGCAAGGCCCCUGCAUGCACGGCCUUCGACGUGAUAAUGAUCGUCGUGGGUGGAGUGCGAGGCGUAGAUCGACCUGUGCUUCCAAACAAAUUCGUACGGGGGGACGAGGCUUCGGCGGACGACCCUUUACGUUUUCUGACGCUUGACCUCAAAUCAGGUAGGACUACCCGCUGAACUUAAGCAUAUCAAUAAGCGGAGGCU